AUCUAUCUAUAUUUCAAGAUAUUAUCCCAUUGCAAAUGGAUAGAUUUUAUUCCUUAAGGAAAAUUUAUGCAAACCAGUUUACCACAGUUUCAAAGAAGAAAGAGAGGGGAAAUUAAAGAAAAAGAGACGGGAGAAAUGAGGGCAAUGGAGGGGCAGUCACUGCCUUGUAUACAUAUCAAUUUAAUUGUAAGUGUGCAUAAAUAUUUCAACAGUGUUACUAUCGCAGUACUUCGAGGAACCAUAUAUUACAUUACCCUGCACAAUUUACAUAGACCAUGGGGAAAAUAAAGAGCAGGAGAAGAAGAAGGAAGCGAACGAGGAAGGUUCUCUCUGUAUCUCACAAACAUCUAUUAAACAAAUAAUUAUACAGCAAAGAGUUUUUACAUUCAACUAUUAUGUUUAAUAAUAUUUAGGGAAUAAUAUUUAUGUCAAAAUAACAUUACCUAUAUUCCAGUUUUAUAGACCUGACUUAAAGAGUAAUAUGUUUCAUCUUUGUCUAGAAUAAUAUAUACAUAAUUGUUUUCUUGGCUUAUAUCCUGGUAUCUACGGUUUCUACCCCUGCUGUACAUAUAGGGGCUGCAGCUGUGUGAGCGAGCGAGCGAGCCAACGACUGAUUCGUUCAGCCUUGAACUUCUCUGCGAGUGCAUUAACUCUGCGGACAGCGCAGCCGGCGUCGCAGUCGCAGCUCUGUCCGCUCGCGCAGAAUGCUUGUUCUUGUCUCGCUCGCACUCGCAGCCCCACCGGCUAAACGGCAUACGCAAUGUGUGCCCAAAUGCGAGUGUGUGUGUGUGUGCCGUAUGUGUGUGGCCAGUGACCGAGGGAUGCGGAACAGAGGGGUGGAGCGGAGAGGAGGAGGAGUUCUGGGCUGCACAUUCCGCGCCUCGGAUCUCCGAUCUUGCGCUUUAUGUAAUCUAGAAUAUUGUCUUGUCAUACGCGUACAGUGGAACCCUCGUAAGUGGGAUAUGUAGGGAGUGAAGCAUGAGGUUACGUAUCAUAGAUUAGAAGAAUUCAGCUUUAAGUUCAAUUAGCAGUUUUAUUAUUUCAAUAGACUUUUAAUAAAUAAAAUAUCUUCAUUACUUUCUAAAUGAAACCACUUUUCUAAGAUCUCUUGAAAAUGAACCAAAAAGUAGGCAAUACAAAAGUUGAUAUGAUACAUCUAUGAUCUUUUUGGAAACUCCAUUAAUUCAGUUAUUCAUCUUAAAGACUGCAAACUGUAUUUAUGAGUUUCUUCUGAGACUGCUUCCUUCGCUUGGAACUGGCACCCCCAUGAAGGAUUGUAUUACAUAAGCGACAAGCGGCGGGCGAUAAGUUUCGCUUUCGCAUAUGCACAUGUGGGCGUGGUAUAUACACACAUACAAAGGCGUAUAUGCAUACAAGCACACACACACACACACACGGGAGCAGCCGAUUAUGAAUACAAACACUCGCACAAACAGGCGGUGAACACUCCUUUUGUCUGGCGAGCGAGUGUUUUGAACCUUCGAGGCACUGGCCUUGAACCUACCGAUCGCAGUUUGUUUGCAAAACAGACUCACAGACACACAGUCACACACGGACACCCAGACACACGCACACUCGCACACACUCGAGUGUGGGGAGUUAUAAAAACAACUUCAAUUCAGUGUUUUUUUUUUUGUUUUGUAUCGCUCAGCGUUCUUUGUUUUUGUUCUUGCAAUUUGUUGGUUCUGCCAUUCACAUUUAUAAACACACAUAAGCAUUGGCAUUGGACUCGUGCGUUGGUGUGCGUAUUUGCCUGACCCCACACAACAUUGCACACACACAUUGCGUUUUGUCCUUGAGAUCGUUUCUUGCCGUUGGCGCACUGUUGCCAUCCCUUUCGCGCCCCCCUGUUACAGCACCAGCCUCCAAUCGCUCCACGCCCAUUCCCCCAAACAGCAACCUGCACAACAACUGUUUUCCAUUGGAGGUUUUCAGGUAUUUCGUUCUUAAGUAACUGAAGUUUUCGGAUUCAGGUUGCCAAGCCCCUUCUUCCAAAUUAGGCAGUUAAAUGCUCGUAUCAGCCGUUAUUGUGCCCUUUUUUUUACUGUACAAAUACUGACCAUCUUUCAGCAAAUUCCCUGCAGAUAUCUAUAAGGUCAAAAAUCCAUAAAUCUGAGAUCUUUCAAUCAUAACAUCUAAGAAAUACUCAACAUAUACUAUGUAUAUAAACCAGAAUUGAAGGAAACAAUUUGCAAGUACAUUUAUUUGGUGACUUUAUAAAGUCAACGACUGUGAAAAGCGUGCAGCAUUUAAUUGAUAUACCAGAUAAUUGCGUUUCAAUAAUAUUUCUCAGUAUGAUAAUAUAUUUCUCUUCUCUUGACGCUUGUUGAUUAUAAUAUUUGGCUCUCAGAGAGAAGUAUUGUGCAGCCCUAUCAGCCGUGGCCACCAGUUGGUCGUGGUUCCCGCCUCCGGACUCCAAGGCUACCACGAUUACGAAUGCAUUUCGCUUAUCAUGACCGAUAAGUGCCACCAAUUUGUAGAUAAGUAUGUGCAUACAUAUGUAAACCCAAUUUGUAUAGGGGGUGCGCAUUGCAGCCGUCAGCUGUGGCCUUUGUUUCAAUAUUUAUCGAGUCAUUCUGCUCGAAUAUACAAAUGCGCAUACAAAUGCGUAUGUGUGGCUGGUGGAAAUAUACUUUUAGAUGGGUUUUUUGGGGAGAAGUGACCGAUAAGCUGGGAAAAAGAUUUCGUUUCACAACAACAAGUUUUUGGGUUCAAGGCUGGUCAAGUGAGAAAUGUAAAUAUACAUAUAUUGCAUCAUGUUGUUUCAGUUCGCGAUUGCAUAUUUGAGGAUGUGUACACUUCUCUCCCAAUUGACGUUAAUUGAGUAAUCUAUGAAUAAUCGCAAAUGAAUCACCUUCAAUUGCCAUACAAAAAGCAGCGUGCUUAAUUUCCCAUAAUUCCCUUUUAAUCUUGAAAUUAUUUUGGCUUGAAAUUCUAAGCUGGACAUAUCAUCAUGAGAACUGUAAUUUUAUAUCGUUGAACUUGUAAUCUUGGAUUUGUCAAGUAUUUAAUUCGAUUUUUGAUUUCCUCAAAAACUCCAUAUGCUCGAAGAAUGUCUUUCGUUAACAAGAACUUAAUUCCAAUUAAAAUGACUCAACAAGAGUGCAUAAAAAGAACAAUACAUUACAAUACUGUUUAUAUACAGGAAGGAUAAAAUAAACAAAGCAAUGCGAUAACUCAUUGGCUUCAAUUUAGGCUCUUAUACUUCCAUCAACCACAAUCAGAUUAUUAAAAUUUAUGUAUUCUGCGAAUUCGAGGAAUACGUCUUAAAUUAACAGUCUUACAUUUGGAAGUUGAAUUUGAUACGCGUUUUCUUCUAGUGUAACAUUCUUUCUGUACACGAUGAAUGUGACUCAGCAGCUUGGGAAUUUUAGCACCGGAAAUGCUUAGGUGUAAUAAGUUUGCUAAGCCUAAACAACAUUUGCUUAUUACAAAAAAAUUUCACCAAUUUAUUUGGGCAACAAGUAAGUCAAUUGUAAGAUGUGUUCUUUUAAAGGUGUACGAGAUUGUAUAACUAUGUAUAUGUACGUUUGUAGACUGGAGACACAUAAUAUUCUGGUUUGAGAACAGAGGAGAUUCCAUAAAAAACGUGGAUAGGAUGUUGAUACCCCCACACUGACACCAUAUGCAUAUGUAUUUGUAGUUGGAACACUUGCACUUGUUGUCUGUCAGUCGGUGUAUCCUCCUCUCCCUCUCCCUCUACCACCAUUCUCCCUCUCACUCACUCUUUGUCCGUGUCUGCUGUGCUUGUGGGUGUGUGCGUGUAAUAUCCGUUAAAAGUUUCGUUGUUCGUCUUGAUUCUACACUUGCAAUAAUACUUUAUAUUAUAUUCAAUUAAUUGUUAAGUCAUUUUGCUUUUGAAAGAGAUAUUUUAGUAUAUGAUUUUAUUUCAAAAACUUACUAAUAUUUUUAAGCAUCGAUUAUAAACGCAAGGUAACAAGAUGUUUCUACAAUGUUAGUAAUAGAGUAUAUUGUAGCUACUCUUUAUAAAGAUAUAUCUUUAGAAUAUGUAUAUAUGUAUAUACAUAUAUAGAUUUGUACAUACAUGUAUGUAUGUUUACGGUAAAACAAAGGAAACAACUUUUCUGCUGCACUGCGAAAUGCGAUGUGAC
Molecule: long non-coding RNA, 4112 nt
Organism: Drosophila yakuba
Lineage: Eukaryota; Metazoa; Arthropoda; Insecta; Diptera; Drosophilidae
Exons: 2
Source: RefSeq, a predicted model, not a curated record